GUAAACGCUGUGUAAUGAGUUUGAUGGGCGCGCCCGUUGAACAUUCGAGGCGAAUUUAAACUGGAGUGGAGGGAGUUACCAUGGAAACGGGGCGGCAACUCAGCUGACAAGUAGCAAAUCUCUCCGUCUCUCACUGUUGUUUUUACUGCUUUCAGAAAUGGUUCAGUGUCAUGGGAAUAAGUCCGGUAGCAUCACAACCGUGAGCUAACAGAGGCUAACUAUAAGAGCAGAGUUGGAGUGGACCUCUUGUUGAAGAACUUCUCCAGGCACUAUGAACCAUCUGACUAGCCAUCCUGUUUAACACUGCACUGAGGACACUACAACCAGAGAGAUGCUGUCAUGAAAAGGCAACUGCUGGACACCUGGGACAGGCCAUCAAUUCCAAGUUGGCGGAACUGAGGUUUCAACUGAAGAAAAAGGAGACCUGUUAGAGUUUAGAGUUGUCUAAUAGAGAGGGUGAAGGAAGAACAUCCAAACCCUGCCCCUGCUUCCUUCAAGAUUUUUUAUGGAUUUAUAUAAUGGUGUUUUUUCGUAAAGUAAAGACAGUGGCAAAAUUAACAUGACACUACUUUGAUGUUUUGUUCUACAAAUUAAACCACACACACACUCCAAAAACACCAAUUUUGAUACAAUUUACAUUUGCAAGAAAAAAAAAAUCAAAGUAUUGUCAUGUUAAUUUUGCCACUGCCUUUACUUUACGA
Cyprinus carpio carpio is the source of this 701-nucleotide long non-coding RNA. NCBI's taxonomy places the organism in Eukaryota, Metazoa, Chordata, Actinopteri, Cypriniformes, Cyprinidae. The record is from Ensembl.